GACGGAGGAUGCAAGUGUUAUCCGGAAUCACUGGGCGUAAAGCGUCUGUAGGUGGUUUAAUAAGUCAACUGUUAAAUCUUGAGGCUCAACCUCAAAAUCGCAGUCGAAACUAUUAGGCUAGAGUAUAGUAGGGGUAAAGGGAAUUUCCAGUGGAGCGGUGAAAUGCGUAGAGAUUGGAAAGAACACCGAUGGCGAAGGCACUCUACUGGGCCAUUACUGACACUGAGAGACGAAAGCUAGGGGAGCAAAUGGG
Molecule: ribosomal RNA, 253 nt
Filed under: uncultured bacterium
Lineage: Bacteria
Description: partial 16S ribosomal RNA
Rfam family: Bacterial small subunit ribosomal RNA
Source: RNAcentral